This 494-nucleotide ribosomal RNA is filed under the name Morchella semilibera. Its description in RNAcentral is "partial 28S ribosomal RNA". It matches the Rfam family "Eukaryotic large subunit ribosomal RNA", at positions 96 to 596 of the family's 3401-position model. The record is from RNAcentral. Lineage: Eukaryota; Fungi; Ascomycota; Pezizomycetes; Pezizales; Morchellaceae.
AAGCGGCAAAAGCUCAAAUUUUAAAGCUGGCACCUUCGGUCCGCGUUGUAAUUUUGUGAGGCAUCUCCGGGUAGGCGCCGGCCUAAGUUCCUUGGAACAGGACGUCAUAGAGGGUGAGAAUCCCGUGCUUGGCUGGCUGUCCCCGUCCAUGUGAGGUGUCUUCGACGAGUCGAGUUGUUUGGGAAUGCAGCUCAAAAUGGGUGGUAAAUUUCAUCUAAAGCUAAAUAUUGGUGGGAGACCGAUAGCGCACAAGUAGAGUGAUCGAAAGAUGAAAAGCACUUUGAAAAUAGAGUUAAAAAGUACGUGAAAUUGUUGAAAGGGAAGCGCUUGAGACCAGACUCGGUGGGGAGUGAUCAGCUGUCCUUCUGGGCGGUGCACUUGCUCCCCUCCGGGCCAGCAUCGGUUGGGACGGCGGGAUAAAGGUCCCGGGAAUGUGGCUCCUCUCGGGGAGUGUUAUAGCCCGGGUGAAUGCCGCCAGCCCCGACCGAGGACCG